UGAGUUUUAUUAAAAUGAAUAUAUUUUAUUGAUUAUGCUGUUACAGUUGUCCCAAUUUUUCCCCUUUGGUCCCCUCCAUCAGGUACCACCCUUCCCUCCAACAAUCACAACCCACACCCUUAGUUCAUGUCCAUGGGUCAUGCAUAUAAGUUCUUUGGCUUCUCCCUUUCCUAUACUAUUCUUAAC
Long non-coding RNA from Phyllostomus discolor (pale spear-nosed bat), 186 nucleotides. RefSeq lists it as uncharacterized. NCBI's taxonomy places the organism in Eukaryota, Metazoa, Chordata, Mammalia, Chiroptera, Phyllostomidae. The record is from RefSeq and is a predicted model, not a curated record. The transcript has 3 exons.